Long non-coding RNA from Ictalurus punctatus (channel catfish), 860 nucleotides. The record is from Ensembl. NCBI's taxonomy places the organism in Eukaryota, Metazoa, Chordata, Actinopteri, Siluriformes, Ictaluridae.
CCACACGGGGGAAAUUCCCUCGUUAGAGCAGCUCAAUUAAACACAACAGAUAAGAACACAACAAUUAAACACAACAGAUAUGAACACCUCAUUUUAUGUGCAAAAUUCGCCUGUGAAGACGACUCCGCCUGACUGUGACUGAGGUCUUGUUGGGCAUAAAAGGAAAACAUUAAUAUCAACAGUAAAAUAAACUCCGGGUUAAUGCUGAUUUCUGGGCCAAACUUAGAGGUCAAACCUCAGCCUACAACUCAGGGACCUGUUGUCAUACAGGAAAGCCGGAUACAACCGACAGAGGAUCAUCAGGACUGCAAAGAAUGGCUACAGAGACAAGAUUGUGUUGAACUAUCAAAGAUCAGACCUCAAGCACAUGUAGAAUGGUUUGUGCUCCAUUACAGACUACAAAGGUUGGAAAAUCUGCAAUGGGGACUAUCUGCCUCACUACCUGAUGAGCAGAACACCUUCUAUGCUCAGUUUAAGGCCAGCAACACCUUCCAUGCAGAAAAACUCCCGGUGAACUGCAACAGCUGCGCACUAACCAUCACUGUGCCUUAUGUGAUCAGAUCUUUCAAGACGGCCAAUACAAGCAAAGCACCAAAUCUGGUGUCCUCAAAUCAUGUGCCAGCCACCUGCGGAGACUCAGGAAGUUUAAUUUCUCCGAAAAUCCUGACCAUUUUCUACAAAUACCCCAUAGAGAGCAUCCUGACUGGGUGCAUGAAUGUUUGGUUUGGCAGCUGCCCCCUGCGUGAAUGCAAGGCCCUCCGAAGAGUGGUGAGAGCAGCUGAACUCAUUAUUGGCAACAGACUCCCAGCCUUACAAGACAUCUUCCAUACAUGAUGUCUGAGGAAAGCACACUAAAUCAC